UACGAAGGGGGCUAGCGUUGCUCGGAAUUACUGGGCGUAAAGCGCACGUAGGCGGAUUGUUAAGUCGGGGGUGAAAUCCUGGAGCUCAACUCCAGAACUGCAUCCGAUACUGCGUGGCUAGAGGUAGGUAGGGGAGAUCGGAAUUCCUGGUGUAGCGGUGAAAUGCGCAGAUAUCAGGAGGAACACCGGUGGCGAAGGCGGAUCUCUGGGCCUUACCUGACGCUCAGGCACGAAAGCUAGGGGAGCGAACAGG
Molecule: ribosomal RNA, 253 nt
Filed under: uncultured bacterium
Lineage: Bacteria
Description: partial 16S ribosomal RNA
Rfam family: Bacterial small subunit ribosomal RNA
Source: RNAcentral